UUCUUUCCCUUUCCACCCGUGCUUUCUAUCUCAGGCAUAGUUGCUCCACCGCGUUGGCUGCCGUCGUCAGUGGUCGAUCAAGACCAAAAUUCACCAGUUGGCUCGCUUUGACCUCUUGAUCAUGGAUCUGAAGUCCGUUUCUCCAAAUCAUCGUCGUUUGUUGUAGAUCUUGGAAAAACUUCUCGACUCCUUUGAAGUAAGACACCUCCAUUCGUCGCCGCAUAGAUCUCAUUUAUACUUCAUGUUUCGUUUCAUUGAUUGAAUCCAUAUCAUGAAUUGGCUGUUAUCGAUCUGGAUGCUUCAAGAAACCCCUGAGGGAAGCCCUCCUAAUUGGAGAUUACAAGCGGUGAAAUGACUGUUAUCGAUCUGGAUGCUUCGGGAAACCCCAUUGUUACAAGUUGAUCGGACCGGAAUAUCAACUUUUCUGAUGCAACAUCCAUCUUCUAGUUGGUUAUUACUGGUACCGUACAAUUUAAUGAGCUGAAUCCGGGAAUUUAUGUAACUACUUCCAGCAUUUGUGAUUAUCCAGUUCAGUUAUAGAGCACAAUGUAAGUAUUUCAUAA
Hibiscus syriacus is the source of this 563-nucleotide long non-coding RNA. RefSeq lists it as uncharacterized. The transcript has 2 exons. Lineage: Eukaryota; Viridiplantae; Streptophyta; Magnoliopsida; Malvales; Malvaceae. The record is from RefSeq and is a predicted model, not a curated record.